This is a long non-coding RNA of Malus domestica (apple), 804 nucleotides long. RefSeq lists it as uncharacterized. NCBI's taxonomy places the organism in Eukaryota, Viridiplantae, Streptophyta, Magnoliopsida, Rosales, Rosaceae. The record is from RefSeq and is a predicted model, not a curated record.
GUUAACCGGAAAAAUCAACUUUGAGUCAAAAACCGAACCGGACCGUUUCAAACCGGUUCGGUUCCGGUUUCAAAUAAACUGGAACCGGCCGGAACCGAACCAAACCGUUUUAUUAAUAAUAAAUUAACUAAUUAUAUAUAUGCACACAUGUCAUGAUAUAAUAGGUUAGAUUGAAAAAUUAGUUUCACCAAGUUGCAAAGCAGUGAAUCCCACCCUCAUCCUCACUCACGGCCUCAUCAGUCAUCGCCCAUUUCACACUUUUAGACUUCCAUUCCUGUAGGCUUUUUCACUCUGCCGAGUCGCCGCCCACCUCACUCGCGGCUCUCUGCGACGACCCUCGUCAUCCCUCAUCCACGACAACUUCGUCCUCCGUCCUCCAUCCUUGGUAUUUUCUCUAUCUUUUCUCAUAUUCUCUCUCUACACCCCUUCGUCAAGUCUCUGAAGCAUUCACUUCUUUGCAUGCUGCGGAGGACCUCUUGCUUCACUCACCUUCCCCACUUCAGUCCCCACCGCAUCGCAUCCGAAUUAUCAGGUGCUCCCAUGGCUUCCACGCAGAGUGAUAUCUUAGCUUCUCGCGAAAGGAUCUUCAAGAACGCUUUUCGUGAAAUUUUGGAGCGAAGGGCAUCUGGACACUCUUGUCUUCUACUGUUUGAUUAAUUAUCUUCUACAGUUCCAGGUUAGUUGAACUUAAUUGUACUUGAUUAAUUAUCUUGUCUCAUAUUUAGCAUAUUUAGUAGUCUGGAGAUGUAUUUGAAUGCAUGAUGAUUUGGUGUUCAAAUAAUUUAAUAUUCAGAACCGUAAACC